This 69-nucleotide transfer RNA is filed under the name Marmota monax (woodchuck). RNAcentral describes it as "tRNA.Ala". The record is from RNAcentral. Lineage: Eukaryota; Metazoa; Chordata; Mammalia; Rodentia; Sciuridae.
GUCUGUAGCUCAGUGGUAAAGCGCUUGCCUGGCAUGUAUAAGGCAUUGGGUUUGAUCCUCAGCACCACA